CCAGCAGCCGCGGUAAUACGUAGGUGGCGAGCGUUAUCCGGAUUUACUGGGCGUAAAGGGAGCGUAGGCGGAUGAUUAAGUGGGAUGUGAAAUACCCGGGCUCAACUUGGGUGCUGCAUUCCAAACUGGUUAUCUAGAGUGCAGGAGAGGAGAGUGGAAUUCCUAGUGUAGCGGUGAAAUGCGUAGAGAUUAGGAAGAACACCAGUGGCGAAGGCGACUCUCUGGACUGUAACUGACGCUGAGGCUCGAAAGCGUGGGGAGCAAACAGGAUUAGAUACCCUGGUA
This 285-nucleotide ribosomal RNA is filed under the name Clostridium perfringens. RNAcentral describes it as "partial 16S ribosomal RNA". It matches the Rfam family "Bacterial small subunit ribosomal RNA", at positions 508 to 792 of the family's 1533-position model. Lineage: Bacteria; Bacillati; Bacillota; Clostridia; Eubacteriales; Clostridiaceae. The record is from RNAcentral.